GGACUACUAGGGUUUCUAAUCCCGUUCGCUCCCCACGCUUUCGCGCCUCAGCGUCAGUCGUCGGCCAGGAAGUCGCCUUCGCCACUGGUGUUCGGCCCGGUCUCUACGGAUUUCACCCCUACUCCGGGACUUCCACUUCCCUCUCCGACACUCCAGCUCGACAGUUUUCCGCGUCCCUCCCCAGUUGAGCCGGGGGCUUUCACACAGAACUUAUCGUGCCGCCUACGCGCUCUUUACGCCCAGUAAUUCCGGACAACGCUCGCCCCCUACGUAUUACCGCGGCUGCUGGCAC
Molecule: ribosomal RNA, 292 nt
Filed under: uncultured bacterium
Lineage: Bacteria
Description: partial 16S ribosomal RNA
Source: RNAcentral